This is a long non-coding RNA of Gadus morhua (Atlantic cod), 1831 nucleotides long. RefSeq lists it as uncharacterized. The transcript is spliced from 3 exons. NCBI's taxonomy places the organism in Eukaryota, Metazoa, Chordata, Actinopteri, Gadiformes, Gadidae. The record is from RefSeq and is a predicted model, not a curated record.
UUUUCAGGUUAUAAGCUCAGGCAGGAAACUGGCUCCAUGAAGCUCUCCAGCGCGAUUAGCCUGUGACGUCAGUGGGGGUGGCAAGUGGAAUCACGUGACAGCACUUGGACGUUGAAUGUCCAUGUCCUACAAGCCGCAGCGAGACAUUAAAGGAAAAUUUGGUGCAUCCCUAAUUCACAGCCCCCGCACUGCCUGUGCCAGGGGCUGCCCUGCAAAUCACAGGCCACCAAAACGGACCAGGUCGGCAGUGUGGGAAGUUUUCGGCUAUCCAAAGGAUGAAGACGGCAAAAUUCUUGAAGAUGGAAUGCCGACUUGCAAACGCUGCAAGAGAAAAGCGCCUUGCAAAGUGGCAAACACGUCCAACAUGGCAUAUCAUCUCCGUGAGAAACAUCCACAAGACCAUGCCAAAAUCGUCAAAUCCACGGAGAAAGCAAGUCCUUCAAGUGCGCCAUCAAGCAGCCAGUCUAAUAUAAAAGAAUCCUUUGCCAAGGGAGCAAAAUAUGCUCCCAACAUCCUUGGGUGUGGUUAGGGUGUUUUGGGCACAAUCUAAAUUAAGCCAUCUCAAAAGCCUUGGGCAUACAGAAAGUCCAACUGGCAGUAAAGGCAUGCAGGCACCUGGUGGAAGCCUUUUCACGAAGCUGGAAGAAGAAACGCGCAUUCAAAAAGAAGCAAAAUGACCUGGAGCUCCCAAACCAUGACCUCAUACAUGAUGUGGUAACCAGGUGGGAUUCCACCUUCAAAAUAGUAUCCCGAUUCCUGGAGCAGCAGCAACCUAUUAGCAGUGUUUUAGCUGACGACUGGAGCUCAUGGGCUCUGAUGCCAAAGGAACACCACGUCACCACUUUGGAGAAACUUAGGCAGCUCCUCUCCCCCCUUAACGAUUUUGAAGAUGCCCUUGCCUCGGAGAAAAGGGUCACCAUGUCAGCUGUGAAACCAAUAAUGGAGCACAUCAUUGGCGAGAUCCUUCUCAUUGAUGGUGCAGAUUCAGCUGACACCAAGGCAAUGAAGCAGGCAAUUAGAGGCGACUUGGAGGCAAGGUACUCAGAGAAGACAAAACAAAUGAUGGAAAUGUGCUGUUUCUUAAAUCCCAGAUUUAAGGAAAGAUUCUGUGUCAAUAUUGAUGAAAGAAAGAAGGCCUGCAUUGGAGAAGCCAUGAAGAUUCUUCCUCCAACAGCUGCACAUCCAUGGACAGAAGAAACAUCUGUUCUGCUGCCUCCUACAACAUCUUGUAUGUACCACAUUGUAUCUUUGCUGUUUUUAUGUAAAGCACUUUUAUUGCAUUCAAUAUGUGAAAAUGUGCUGCUGCUGUAUAAAUUAAUCUUUCUUGCUUUUGUGUAGCACCCGUGGUCUUAGCCGGAAGGGGCAGAUAGGAUGCUAGCAUCACUCUAGGUCCUUAAAGAAGUUAAACACUGAUGACUCACGAGGGGAGUUGGUGUUGGUUGAAUAGAUGAGCUAUUUUAAUGCCUUUCAUCAUAAACAUUUACAUUUGGUACAAAAUAAAGCUUUUGAAAAUAACAAACAAACAAACAAAAUCAAAAGAAUAAGUCCUUUGUAGCUGGAUUCCCCAGCUACAGUACUCCUUGGGAAGGAGUUGUUUGGUCGAGGAAUGUCGAGUUCAAGGGGGGGAUAUCCGGAUAUGUGUGUUUCUCUUACUACUACCCGGGUAGGUUAGUGUGUAUCUAUUUCUAUGUCUUAUCUGUUAUGAAUGGAUCUUCACAAGGGCUUCUAUGGUGGUGUUCACGGCUGGCCACGCCGUAUCCACACCAUCCACAGUUCUAUUGGGCAAAGCUCGCCAUCGUAGAUGCAAUCUUCCUUCGAUCAAACAAAAAAA